Molecule: non-coding RNA, 73 nt
Organism: Camelus ferus (Wild Bactrian camel)
Lineage: Eukaryota; Metazoa; Chordata; Mammalia; Artiodactyla; Camelidae
Source: Rfam
GGAGAGUACAGCUCAGUGGUAGAGCGUGGGCUUAGCAUGCAUGAGGUCCUGGGUUCAAUCCCCAGUACCUCCA